This 490-nucleotide ribosomal RNA is filed under the name uncultured bacterium. RNAcentral describes it as "partial 16S ribosomal RNA". It matches the Rfam family "Bacterial small subunit ribosomal RNA", at positions 30 to 507 of the family's 1533-position model. The record is from RNAcentral.
AUUGAACGCUGGCGGCAUGCCUUACACAUGCAAGUCGAACGGCAGCAUGAUCUAGCUUGCUAGAUUGAUGGCGAGUGGCGAACGGGUGAGUAAUACAUCGGAACGUGCCCUGUAGUGGGGGAUAACUAGUCGAAAGAUUAGCUAAUACCGCAUGCGACCUGAGGGUGAAAGUGGGGGACCGCAAGGCCUCAUGCUAUAGGAGCGGCCGAUGUCUGAUUAGCUAGUUGGUGAGGUAAAGGCUCACCAAGGCGACGAUCAGUAGCUGGUCUGAGAGGACGUUCAGCCACACUGGGACUGAGACACGGCCCAGACUCCUACGGGAGGCAGCAGUGGGGAAUUUUGGACAAUGGGCGAAAGCCUGAUCCAGCAAUGCCGCGUGUGUGAAGAAGGCCUUCGGGUUGUAAAGCACUUUUGUCCGGAAAGAAAUGGCUCUGGUUAAUACCUGGGGUCGAUGACGGUACCGGAAGAAUAAGGACCGGCUAACUACGUG